Molecule: ribosomal RNA, 1729 nt
Filed under: Ptolemeba noxubium
Lineage: Eukaryota; Tubulinea; Elardia; Euamoebida; Hartmannellidae
Description: SSU rRNA
Rfam family: Eukaryotic small subunit ribosomal RNA
Source: RNAcentral
AGAUUAAGCCAUGCAUGUCUAAGGAUAAACAAUUUUUUCCGUAAACCUGCGAACGGCUCAUUAAAUCAGUUUAAAUCUACUCUGCUAAUACCUUUAAAUGGAUAACUGCAGUAAUUCUGGAGCUAAUACAUGCUAAAAACCUGAACUCUACGGAACAGGUGUAAUUAUUUGACUUAGAAACCAAUAGUAGCAAUACUCUUAAAAAUGAAUUAAAAUAACUUUAUGAAUCGCAUUAAUUUUUGUGAUGGCACGAAUGAUAUUCUGCCCUAUCAACUUUCGAUGGUAGUAUAGGGGACUACCAUGGUGAUGACGGGUAACGGAGAAUUUGGGUUUGAUUCCGGAGAAAAGGCCUGAGAGACGGCCAUUACUUCCAAGGAAGGCAGCAGGCGCGUAAAUUACCCAAUCCCAAUUUGGGGAGGUAGUGACGAGAAAUACUAGUAUUGGCCCCAAUGGGGACAAUGAUUGGAAUGAAAACAAUGUAAAUACAUUAAUGACUAACAAUUGGAGGGCAAGUCUGGUGCCAGCAGCCGCGGUAAUUCCAGCUCCAAUAGUGUAUACUAAAGUUGUUGCGUUUAAAAAGCUCGUAGUUGAAUUUCGAAAUUUGAACUUAAAUUGCAAUUUAUUGUAAUAAGAGAUACAUACUUCUUCUUAAGGGGCUAAGGCCUACUUAAAAUUUACUGUGAAAAAAUUAGAGUGUUAAAAGCAAGCAAAUGCUUGAAUAUUUCAGCAUGGGAUAAUAAAAGAUGACAGAAGUCAAUAUUUGUUGGUUUCUUUGGCUAAUGUAAUGAUUAAAAGGGACAGUUGGGGCAACUUGUAUUGGCUCGCUAGGGGUGAAAUCCUAUGAUUGAGUCAAGACAAACUACUGCGAAAGCAUUUUGCAAGGAUGUUUUCAUUAAUCAAGAACGAAAGUUGUAGGAUCGAAGAUGAUUAGAUACCGUCGUAGUUACAACCAUAAACAAUGUCGACUCAGGAUUGAUAGAUAUUAAAUGGAUGAUUCUGUCAGCACUGUGUGAGAAAUCAAAGUAUCCAGACUCCGGGGGGAGUAUGGUCGCAAGACUGAAACUUAAAGGAAUUGACGGAAGGGCACCACCAGGAGUGGAAUCUGCGGCUUAAUUUGACUCAACACGGGGAAACUUACCGGGUCCGGACUCAGCGAGGAUUGACAGAUUGAUAGCUCUUUCUUAAUUUUGAGGAUGGUGGUGCAUGGCCGUUUUUAGUUGGUGGAUUGAUUUGUCUGGUUAAUUCCGAAAACGAACGAGACCUUAACCUAUUAAAUAGUAUCAGUAAACUAGAAUGCAAAUUUGUGAUUUAAAUGAAUAAUCUUCUUAAAGGGACUCUUCAUAUUUUAGUGAAGGGAAGUUUAAGGCAAAAACAGGUCUGUGAUGCCCUUCGAUGUUCCGGGCUGCACGCGCGUUACACUGAAAUGUUCAAUGAGUUUUUAAAUUCCUUGUCUGAAAAGACUGGGCAAACUUACCAAAGCAUUUCGUGAUUGGGAUUGUGCCUUGUAAUUAUUGCACAUAAACAUGGAAUUCCUAGUAGGCGUAAGUCAUCAACUUACAUCGAUUACGUCCCCGCCCUUUGUACACACCGCCCGUCGCUGCUACAGAUCGAAUGAUCCGAUGAGGACUCAGGAUUGGAUUUCUUUUGUUGGCUGAAAGGUUAGCAAUUGGAGUUUGAGAAUUUGUUCAAAUCUUAUUAUUUAGAUGAAGCAGAAGUCGUAAACAAGGUA